CUCAUAUUCAUGGUCUCUUUAUAAAGUUUCCUUUUUUAUUAUUGCUAUAUGUUACUUGAAGCGAUAUGAUUUUAUUAAAAGCUUCUCUCAUUUUUUCCAAAAGACCUACAAAUGACUUGGGAUAUCCAAUGAAUUCUGGAAAAAUGUACAGCUUAGGCUGGAGGCCUAAGGUACCUUGGAAAGAAGGAAUAAAGAAAACAAUUGAAUGGUAUCAAGAGAAUUUCCACAACUGGAAGAAUGCCGAGAAAGCUUUGGAGCCUUUUCCUGUUUCCGAGGCGUCUGUAUGAUUUCAUCUCCAGUAAAGCUGGAAAGAAGAAAUGAAGAAAACCAUUCUACCUCAGGACCACAUAUAAGG
Sceloporus undulatus (fence lizard) is the source of this 355-nucleotide long non-coding RNA. RefSeq lists it as uncharacterized. The transcript is spliced from 2 exons. The record is from RefSeq and is a predicted model, not a curated record. NCBI's taxonomy places the organism in Eukaryota, Metazoa, Chordata, Lepidosauria, Squamata, Phrynosomatidae.